AGAGUUUGAUCCUGGCUCAGGAUGAACGCUAGCGGCAGGCUUAACACAUGCAAGUCGAGGGGUAUAGGUUUUCGGACCUAGAGACCGGCGCACGGGUGCGUAACGCGUAUGCAAUCUACCUUUUACAGAGGGAUAGCCCAGAGAAAUUUGGAUUAAUACCUCAUAGUAUAGCUGAACCGCAUGGUUCUACUAUUAAAGUCACAACGGUAAAAGAUGAGCAUGCGUCCCAUUAGCUUGUUGGUAAGGUAACGGCUUAUCAAGGCUACGAUGGGUAGGGGUCCUGAGAGGGAGAUCCCCCACACUGGUACUGAGACACGGACCAGACUCCUACGGGAGGCAGCAGUGAGGAAUAUUGGUCAAUGGACGCAAGUCUGAACCAGCCAUGCCGCGUGCAGGAUGACGGUCCUAUGGAUUGUAAACUGCUUUUGCACAGGAAGAAACAACUCUACGUGUAGAGUCUUGACGGUACUGUGAGAAUAAGGAUCGGCUAACUCCGUGCCAGCAGCCGCGGUAAUACGGAGGAUCCAAGCGUUAUCCGGAAUCAUUGGGUUUAAAGGGUCCGUAGGCGGUUUAGUAAGUCAGUGGUGAAAGCCCAUCGCUCAACGGUGGAACGGCCAUUGAUACUGCUAGACUUGAAUUAUUAGGAAGUAACUAGAAUAUGUAGUGUAGCGGUGAAAUGCUUAGAGAUUACAUGAAAUACCAAUCGCGAAGGCAGGUUACUACUAAUGGAUUGACGCUGAUGGACGAAAGCGUGGGUAGCGAACAGGAUUAGAUACCCUGGUAGUCCACGCCGUAAACGAUGGAUACUAGCUGUUGGAAGCAAUUUCAGUGGCUAAGCGAAAGUGAUAAGUAUCCCACCUGGGGAGUACGUUCGCAAGAAUGAAACUCAAAGGAAUUGACGGGGGCCCGCACAAGCGGUGGAGCAUGUGGUUUAAUUCGAUGAUACGCGAGGAACCUUACCAAGGCUUAAAUGUAGAUUGACCGGUUUGGAAACAGACUUUUCGCAAGACAAUUUACAAGGUGCUGCAUGGUUGUUGUCAGCUCGUGCCGUGAGGUGUCAGGUUAAGUCCUAUAACGAGCGCAACCCCUGUUGUUAGUUGCCAGCGAGUCAUGUCGGGAACUCUAACAAGACUGCCAGUGUAAACUGUGAGGAAGGUGGGGAUGACGUCAAAUCAUCACGGCCCUUACGCCUUGGGCUACACACGUGCUACAAUGGCCGGUACAGAGAGCAGCCACUGGGCGACCAGGAGCGAAUCUAUAAAACCGGUCACAGUUCGGAUCGGAGUCUGUAACUCGACUCCGUGAAGCUGGAAUCGCUAGUAAUCGGAUAUCAGCCAUGAUCCGGUGAAUACGUUCCCGGGCCUUGUACACACCGCCCGUCAAGCCAUGGAAGCUGGGGGUGCCUGAAGUCGGUGACCGCAAGGAGCUGCCUAGGGUAAAACUGGUAACUAGGGCUAAGUCGUAACAAGGUA
Molecule: ribosomal RNA, 1472 nt
Filed under: metagenome
Description: bacterial SSU rRNA
Rfam family: Bacterial small subunit ribosomal RNA
Source: RNAcentral